GUAGGUGAACCUGCGGAAGGAUCAUUACUGAGUUCAUGCCCUCACGGGUAGAUCUCCCACCCUUGAAUAUUAUACCUUCGUUGCUUUGGCAGGCCGUGGAAACACCAUGGGCUCCGGCUGAUGCGUGCCUGCCAGAGGAAACAAAACUCUGUUUUUAGUGAUGUCUGAGUACUAUAUAAUAGUUAAAACUUUCAACAACGGAUCCCUAGGCUCUG
This 215-nucleotide unclassified non-coding RNA is filed under the name rhizosphere metagenome. Its description in RNAcentral is "partial ribosomal RNA internal transcribed spacer region". The record is from RNAcentral.